AUUGAACGCUGGCGGCAGGCCUAACACAUGCACGUCGAACGAGUGGCGGACGGGUGAGUAAUGUCUGGGAAACUGCCUGAUGGAGGGGGAUAACUGCUGGAAACGGUAGCUAAUACCGCAUACCAUCAGAUGUGCCCAGAUGGGAUUAGCUGGUGGGGGGGGUAACGGCUCAAAAAGGCGACGAGCCCUAGCUGGUCUGCGAGGAUGACCAGCCACACUGUAACUGAGACAAGGUCCAGACUCCUACGGGAGGCAGCAGUGGGGAAUAUGGCACAAUGGACGCAAGCCUGAUGCAGCCAUGCCGCGUGUAUGAAGAAGGCCUGCGGGUUGUAAAGUACUUUCAGCGGGGAGGCGUUACCCGCAGAAGAAGCACCGGCUAACUCCGUGCCAGCAGCCGCGGUAAUAC
RNAcentral lists this ribosomal RNA (406 nucleotides) under uncultured bacterium. RNAcentral describes it as "partial 16S ribosomal RNA". It matches the Rfam family "Bacterial small subunit ribosomal RNA", at positions 29 to 526 of the family's 1533-position model. The record is from RNAcentral.